GGGGGUAUGGCUCAGUGGUAGAGCAUAUAUGCUUAGCAUGCAGGUCUCAGGUUCAAUUCCCAGUAUCGCCA
Molecule: transfer RNA, 71 nt
Filed under: Camelus bactrianus (Bactrian camel)
Lineage: Eukaryota; Metazoa; Chordata; Mammalia; Artiodactyla; Camelidae
Also listed under: 1 other name
Rfam family: tRNA
About the family: Transfer RNA (tRNA) molecules are approximately 80 nucleotides in length. Their secondary structure includes four short double-helical elements and three loops (D, anti-codon, and T loops). Further hydrogen bonds mediate the characteristic L-shaped molecular structure. tRNAs have two regions of fundamental functional importance: the anti-codon, which is responsible for specific mRNA codon recognition, and the 3' end, to which the tRNAs corresponding amino acid is attached (by aminoacyl-tRNA synthetases). tRNAs cope with the degeneracy of the genetic code in two manners: having more than one tRNA (with a specific anti-codon) for a particular amino acid; and 'wobble' base-pairing, i.e. permitting non-standard base-pairing at the 3rd anti-codon position.
Source: Rfam by way of RNAcentral